UUAGUGUGGCAGAACAGGUUAUGCAAAAGACCUAAGCUCUUUUCAUUAGGGGUUCAAAUCCCCUCACUAACU
RNAcentral lists this transfer RNA (72 nucleotides) under Rhacophorus poecilonotus. RNAcentral describes it as "tRNA-Leu". It matches the Rfam family "tRNA". Rfam says of the family: Transfer RNA (tRNA) molecules are approximately 80 nucleotides in length. Lineage: Eukaryota; Metazoa; Chordata; Amphibia; Anura; Rhacophoridae. The record is from RNAcentral.